RNAcentral lists this small RNA (572 nucleotides) under Pongo abelii (Sumatran orangutan). RNAcentral's name for it is "processed transcript". Lineage: Eukaryota; Metazoa; Chordata; Mammalia; Primates; Hominidae. The record is from RNAcentral.
GCGUGCAGAUUUGUCUCUCCCGCUCGGGAGCCCGGUGGAUCCUCUCCCACCUCCCCACCUCGCCCCCCGCCUUUAUUUUUUUUUCCUGCAGGUCUUCAUUUAAUUUGUUUUUCCCCCUGCUGCAAGCCUUCUUGGGUGUAUAUACACAUUUAUUUUGCACCGAGAAGGAAGAGCGCUUUAUAAGUUAAAAUACAGUGGGGGCAUAUGUGUAUUUUUUUCCCCACUGUGGAUGCCAAUAUUUUUGAGACUGGAAGCCUAAAUUUUUUGUUGGAAACCAUUUCGUUUCCGUUUCUUGCCUCUUACCGCCGAAGAGUGCAAGGCCUUUCAUGAGCUGGAGGAGGGAAUGAUAUUCAGUGGUGUUUUUCUCAGGUGAAAGGAGCAGUAGAUGAUGAUGUAGCAGAAGCAGAUAUAAUUUCUACAGUAGAAUUUAAUCAUUCUGGAGAAUUACUAGCAACAGGAGAUAAAGGUGGUAGAGUCGUCAUCUUUCAACAAGAGCAGGAGCGCCUUUGACCUGAGGAUCUCAAAGUGCUUUACAAACACUAAUGAAUUAAUCCUCACAACACCCCAGUGAG